RNAcentral lists this ribosomal RNA (406 nucleotides) under uncultured bacterium. RNAcentral describes it as "partial 16S ribosomal RNA". It matches the Rfam family "Bacterial small subunit ribosomal RNA", at positions 30 to 526 of the family's 1533-position model. The record is from RNAcentral.
AUUGAACGCUGGCGGCAGGCCUAACACAUGCAAGUCGAACGAGUGGCGGACGGGUGAGUAAUGUCUGGGACCCUGCCUGAUGGAGGGGGAUAACUACUGGAAACGGUAGCUAAUACCGCAUACCAUCGGAUGUGCCCAGAUGGGAUUAGCUAGUGGGUGGGGUAAAGGCUCACCUAGGCGACGAUCCCGAGCUGGUCUGAGAGGAUGACCAGCCACACUGGAACUGAGCACCGGUCCAGACUCCUACGGGAGGCAGCAUGGGGGAAUAUUGCACAAUGGGCGCAAUCCUGAUGCAGCAAGGCCGCGUGUAUGAAGAAGGCCUUCGGGUUGUAAAGUACUUUCAGCGGGGAGGCGUUACCCGAAGAAGAAGCACCGGCUAACUCCGUGCCAGCAGCCGCGGUAAUAC